GCUUAGUAAAGUCCUCAAUCAAAAGUCAACCCUUAUUUUCCCUCAGGCACUGCCAAGUCAGUAAACAACAGUCCUUGGCGGCAGCUGUGUGGAUCCCAGCCAUACCUUUGGGAACUUUUGCUCUACUGAUGACCCUGGGGUCGCCUGCUAACUAAAGGAAGAUUGCAGGACCCUCCACUGGCCCUGGACGUGGGGCCUCAGCACAUUGAUCAGACAUGGUCCCAGGCUGUGCCUAAUGAUGGAGGAGUGCACAAGUUCUAAAUAUGCUUCAAGGAGAAGAUGUCCAUCCACAAAGGCAUGCGAAACCUCAACAGCAUCAUCGUAGAGUCAGGCUGGCUCCAGAGCUUCCUUCUGAAUUUCACAGGUGUUUGAACUCAUUUGUGAAGUCUCCCACUUCAGUUGGAGGCCCCAGUGAGAUCUCGAGCCCCCGGAUCAGGAGGUAAGGACUUUGGAGAGGGCUUCUGUAAGAGUGUGUGUGUGCUUGCUUGGGGAAGAAUUCUCUAGGCCUGUGGCUGGGGUUUGCUAAGCUGGGGCCUGUGAAGGAGACUUAAACCCUUAUCCCCUUUGGGGGUGUUUCUGAGUGCGGACUUGAAGAGUAUGCAUUUCCCAAAUCCCGAGAGGGAUUGGGUCAGAAAUCCGAGAAAGUGAAUGGUGUCCUCUCCGGAGCCUGCCCCUGGAUCUGGUAUUUGAGAUUUUGACCAAAAUUUAGGCUGAUUUUGGAACCAUCUGUUCUGUUCUGUCCUGUUCUGUUCUGGUAAAUUAGUUCUGUUUCUCUAGAAUUCUGUUUUGUUUUGCCCCAUGGCCUGUUUUACUCUAGGAGUCUGCCUGCUUUAAGGCUUGGUCUUCAAGUUCUGUUUGGACCCCUACCUUCUCUAGGAGUCUGCCUGCUUGAAGGUUCGGUCCUGAAGUUCUGUUUGGGUCCUAGAGUUGGCCAUGGAGUUCUGUAAAUCCGGAUUCAGUAGAGGCUGUUGGGUUGCUGGACACAGCUUAGUCCCACAGUCAGGUCACUAAAGAGCCAUCUUUCAGUGACUUCAGGGG
RNAcentral lists this long non-coding RNA (1038 nucleotides) under Monodelphis domestica (gray short-tailed opossum). RNAcentral describes it as "lncRNA (ENSMODG00000043702.1)". Lineage: Eukaryota; Metazoa; Chordata; Mammalia; Didelphimorphia; Didelphidae. The record is from RNAcentral.